This 874-nucleotide long non-coding RNA is filed under the name Heterocephalus glaber (naked mole-rat). RNAcentral's name for it is "lncRNA (ENSHGLG00000050311.1)". Lineage: Eukaryota; Metazoa; Chordata; Mammalia; Rodentia; Bathyergidae. The record is from RNAcentral.
CCUGGUCCGCUGGAGGGGCUACGCGCACCGUGCCGCCUCGCCCUGCGAAUCCCAGGGACCCCAGUGCGGUAUAAGCGCGGGAAGCAGGCGAGGGACCCGUUAGACGUGGAGUGGGGACGGAGUGGGGGGCGACAGACUGGGCUGGGAAAUUGCUAACCUGUCCCCGGAGACUGCUUUCUGAGAGCCCUGUCCCUUCCCCGGAAGAGGCCAAUUCCAGAGGGAGAUGACAGCAGGCGCCCGCCCCGGACAAUCUGAUUCUGGGCAGGGCGCAGCGGGGCUGGCAGGCGCCCGGGGAGGCAGGGAAGUUGCUUCCAAGGACUGGCCGCCCUCAACCUCCUUUAACACACAGCCGGGUGCAGCAGGGCAGCGGCGGACAUUUGUUUCCCAACUCUGGUCAAUGUGAAAGCAGCAACCCGUGCGUCCUGGACCCCAAGGUGGCUGUGUACCGUCGAGGUUUCUAACACUGCUUCCUUGGCAAAAGCGAUAACAAUACCGUGUAUCGGGAUGAGACUAAAGCCAGACGGCAACAACACAGCACACUUUCCCGGGCAGCGCCAGUGCGAGGUGCUUUGAAAGCACACGAGGCAACCCCGGAGGCCGAAGUGGAAGGGUCUCGCCCCGUGGGGCUGCUACCCUGUCUCAUCAUCGCUCCUUGGAGCCCUCCACUGACGGCACCAUCAGAUCGCCUCUCGCACACCGCUCUGCUAUGGCUUAGAUCCUCAGAGCUCUUCAGCAUAUUCUGCAUCUUCCCUCUAACUUGGAAAAAAAAGUUGUGAAAUGGGAUCCUGCCUUCAUAAUUCUGAAGGUUCCUUUCUACACUUUAUAUCUCGUGGCAGACAAUAUGUAUAACUCUACUGCACAUGUCCAAAGGCAC